This is a long non-coding RNA of Halichondria panicea, 353 nucleotides long. RefSeq lists it as uncharacterized. Lineage: Eukaryota; Metazoa; Porifera; Demospongiae; Suberitida; Halichondriidae. The transcript has 2 exons. The record is from RefSeq and is a predicted model, not a curated record.
UAAAGAGUGGGGAGGGGCUCAAUAAUAAGGCUAGGCAGCAGGAAGUGGUUUGCUGUAUCAAACACAUAGAACACUUGAGCUUGCUUCACAACAUGCAGCACAACAAGGUUCUUGGAUCCAGGUACUGGUGGUCAUACUUUGUACGCUGCCUGUCACCUCCUGGUAAGCUGAUCAAUCUUUUAGUGGCCUGAAAAGAAAAGAAUCAAGACUGUCGUCAGAUCAAGCAAAGGAACAAACGUUUAUCAUCACUUACACUUCUACAUUUACACAGAGACUAGACUAGACAUGAUUGCAUUGACAUUUGACAUACCUUAAGAAGAGUUGGCUAGAGUUUGCCAUCCCAGGCGAAUUGA